RNAcentral lists this ribosomal RNA (251 nucleotides) under uncultured bacterium. Its description in RNAcentral is "partial 16S ribosomal RNA". It matches the Rfam family "Bacterial small subunit ribosomal RNA", at positions 524 to 776 of the family's 1533-position model. The record is from RNAcentral.
UACGUAGGGUGCAAGCGUUAAUCGGAAUUACUGGGCGUAAAGCGUGCGCAGGCGGUUUUGUAAGUCAGAUGUGAAAUCCCCGGGCUUAACCUGGGAACUGCGUUUGAAACUACAAGGCUAGAGUGUGGCAGAGGGGGGUGGAAUUCCACGUGUAGCAGUGAAAUGCGUAGAGAUGUGGAGGAACACCGAUGGCGAAGGCAGCCCCCUGGGUUAACACUGACGCUCAGGCACGAAGCGUGGGAGCAAACAGG